AUGCUAUAUAUACUAACACAAGCACCAUUACCUUCCUCAUCAUUCAUAGGGUUUGGCAAUGGCAGAUCUAGAUCUAGAAAUUCAUCUCAUCCCCAAACUUUCACACAAACGUUAAUUUUUUCGUUAAAUCUCAUCUCAGCACAGCGCCUCCCGGCCUUCUCUGGUAAAUUUCAUGACGCGAAAGCCCCGAUCCACGUCCUAGAUUGCCGCCGUUUGUGUUGCAAAUUUCCCUAA
Non-coding RNA from Vicia faba (fava bean), 234 nucleotides. NCBI's taxonomy places the organism in Eukaryota, Viridiplantae, Streptophyta, Magnoliopsida, Fabales, Fabaceae. The record is from the annotation of a GenBank genome assembly.